GUGCAGCAGGCGAGAAACCUUUACCAUGCACGAAAGUGUGAUAAGGUUACCCGGAGUGCCCAGAGAAAAACUGUGGGCUGUUAUAGGUGUGUAGAUAACCCUAUGAGAAAGGAGAGGGGCAAGGCUGGUGCCAGCCGCCGCGGUAAAAACCAGCUCUUCAAGUGGUCGGGAUUUUUAUUGGGCUUAAAGUGUCCGUAGCCUGUUUGGUAAGUUCCUGGUUAAAAUAUGGCAAGCUUAACUGUCACUUGGCUAGGAAUACUGCCUUACUAGAGGGUGGGAAAGGUUUGGGGUACUCCAGGGGUAGCGGUGAAAUGCGAUAA
RNAcentral lists this ribosomal RNA (320 nucleotides) under uncultured microorganism. RNAcentral's name for it is "bacterial SSU rRNA". It matches the Rfam family "Archaeal small subunit ribosomal RNA", at positions 330 to 645 of the family's 1478-position model. The record is from RNAcentral.